AGGGUAUCACCAGGAGUGGAGCCUGCGACUUAAUUCGACUCAACACGGGAAAACUCACCCGGCCCGGACACUUGUAGGAUUGACAGAUUAAGAGCUCUUUCUUGAUUAAGUGGGUGGUGGUGCAUGGCCGAUUAAGCUUAUGGUGUGAACUUGGAAUGAGCUAGACUCGUACCUCUAAAUAGAAUCCUGAAACUGGAAAACAGUAUUCUUCUUAAAGGGAUCAGCGGUAUGUCCUAGCCGCAUGAAAACGAGCUAAAUCAGGUCUGUGAUGCCCUUAGAUGUCCGGGGCAGCACGCGCGCUACACUGAAGUGAUCAGCGUGCUUUUUCAACCUACUCUGUCAAGAGUGGGGAACCCAAUGAACCUUCUUCGUGAUUGGGAUAGGGGAUUGUAAUUAUUCCCCUUGAACGAGGAAUUCCCAGUAAGCGCGAGUCAUAAGCUCGCGUUGAUUACGUCCCUGCCCUUUGUACACACCGCCCGUCGCUACUACCGAUUGAAUGUUUUAGUGAGGUCUUCGGAC
Molecule: ribosomal RNA, 519 nt
Filed under: uncultured eukaryote
Lineage: Eukaryota
Description: bacterial SSU rRNA
Rfam family: Eukaryotic small subunit ribosomal RNA
Source: RNAcentral